UGUAACCAUGACUUGGGUCUUGAGCAGUUGAAAGACAGAAUGGUCAAGUCAAGCGCUAUAUUUUCACUCUUUGAUCAACUACUAUUUCAGAGUUUUUGCAAGAUUUUCAAAUAAAACUCAAAGCUUCCUUGUAUGACCCAUUCAAGGCUCUCAUUUGUGGUAGUUCUGGAUCCUCACCAAGGCAUGAAUGAUAUAUGCCUUCUCUCUACUCUCAGAAUAUGUGAUAUUUGAGGAAAGCAUAGUGGCAUUGUGCCUUCUCUCUCUCACCCUACAUCUAAUAGGCUUAUGUGGAGUUCAUAGGUGGGGAGACAGCUCAAACAUACUUGUAGACAUAUGUUGUAUAGUUAAACCGUGGAUCUAGUCAUACAAUCAAAUCAUAUGUGCAUGUGAAUAAGGGGAAUGAAAUGAGUGAUAGAUUGCGAGGGGCGACAAUAAUGAUGGUGGAGAUCUAAUUCUACAUUUGCUCCUUGGGGCUACUUUUUCUUUAUUUUGGGACUUUUGUCCUCUUUCUUUUCUUUUUUCUUUCUCUUUUUUAGAGAUAACCAAUUCUUUUAAUACACUAACAAUAGUAGGGAGUAUCAACUAAAAUAACUAGAUCUUUAUUGGAUAAGUAGGGAGUAUCAACUAAAAUAACAGAAGUAGGGAGUAUCAACUAUAAUGGCAAUGAAUAUUUUUGGAUGUCCUGUCCUAGUGCGGGAGAGUAAAAUAUUUUCUGAGUGGAUAAGGAAUAUGUAUAUGUGGAUGGAUGAAUGCGUACUCUUAGGGUAGGAGAAGCAGAGGUGUGUGUCUCCAAGAUAGAAAAAACAUAGAGUGUAGUGUGUAUAUGUGGGUUGUGCUUCUAUGAACAGAAGUAGCAUAGGGAGAAUGUGUAGUGGAUGUAAGUGGUUGCAUACUUCUGAAGACAGAAGUAGCUAAGAUCAAUGGAUGGAAAGCACAAAAUAUUGACUUUAACUGCAUGACUAGUUCCUUAGGGUCAACAUAGCUUAACUACACACAAUGCCUACAAGCAAUAUAUGGAAGUGGAUGGCUUUCCUAAUCUAGUAAGCAUGUAUAUUUGGCUAUGGUAGGAAUUUUGAACUCUCGUCAUAUAGAAACUCAUCAUGCAGCAAUUUAAAAUUUUCAAAGAUAAAUUCUCCAGAACUCUAGUAUCUCUAGGAACAAGAUGGACAUCAGCUCAAAACCUUCCCAUAUCAUAUCUAUCAUCUAUCUAGACUUAGAUCAAGCAUACGCUACCCACAAGUUUUAGGUUCAGAGCAAAUCUC
This 1262-nucleotide long non-coding RNA is filed under the name Sorghum bicolor (sorghum). Its description in RNAcentral is "long non-coding RNA (SBIC_LNC009912)". Lineage: Eukaryota; Viridiplantae; Streptophyta; Magnoliopsida; Poales; Poaceae. The record is from RNAcentral.